UCACAGAUUAAAAUCCUUCAGUAGAAUCAUUUAAAUUCAUCAUCAAUCUUUUCAAAGAUGUAGAAAAUCUUAGGAGAAAAAUAAUGUGGAGAGAUAAUUUCUAGAGAGAGAUAAAUAAUCUAGAGAGGAACAAUUUUAGAGAGAGAAAGUGGAGAGAGAAACUAGAGAGAGAAAGAGAGGAAAGAGAGAGGACAGGAGAGAG
Molecule: long non-coding RNA, 202 nt
Filed under: Elaeis guineensis (African oil palm)
Lineage: Eukaryota; Viridiplantae; Streptophyta; Magnoliopsida; Arecales; Arecaceae
Description: long non-coding RNA (EGUI_LNC032241)
Source: RNAcentral